Rosa chinensis is the source of this 1403-nucleotide long non-coding RNA. RefSeq lists it as uncharacterized. NCBI's taxonomy places the organism in Eukaryota, Viridiplantae, Streptophyta, Magnoliopsida, Rosales, Rosaceae. The record is from RefSeq and is a predicted model, not a curated record. The transcript is spliced from 3 exons.
UGGGUUUUAUUCCUAUUGAGUAUUUUCUGUGAUUGGGUCUAUUUGAUUGAAGAUUUCUCACAUUUUCUUCACAUUGAAAAUCCCUAUGUGAUUGUGUCUAUUUGAUAUCUCGUUUGGUAUUUUCGAACUGUGAUUCUAUUAAGGAUUUCGAUGGGUUCCAGGUUCAGACAAUUUUCAGGUUGUAGAGGUUUUGAUUUGGAGUAUAAUUGGUUUUGGGUAUACCAUAUUUUAAGGUAAUUUUGUCCAGUGACUCCAUUAGGAUGAUUAGGACUGGGAAGGAUCAAGUUCAAUUACUGCACACCAUGUGUUUGAAGUUAUGCCUCAAAGACAGCACCCAAGCUGAACCAGUGGGCUAUUCCAUGAUUUUCGAAAACCCUAUACUUCUUGUUUUACUCUCAGUUUUUGAUAGCUUAAAAUAGACUCUUCAAUGAUCAUUUUGAGCUAGGUUUCAUGAAAAACGGAGUUAAAAUGAAAUACUUAUGCCAUUUUGAAAUUACUGCACUGUUUCAGAAUUUCUGCAGAAAUCAGUCUUUUCUGCUACUUUGGAUUCUUGUUUGACCACUCAUUUGAACUGCGAAUGACCUGAAAUUUUGCAAAAUAAUAGCUUUACAUGUCUACUUCAAAUCUGGAGAGUUUUGCAUGAAAUAACUGAAGAGUAGUUGUUGGUGAAUUUUUCUUUCUUGCUACCAGUCUUCUGAAAUUUUCUCAAAUUUGCAGCAACCUUGUUACGAAACAAUCUGUUUGACAGGCCUUCACACCUUUGUCAGUCCUUGAAUUUUAGUAUAUUAAAAUAGACUGAAUAUUAACAUUCUUAUCUGGAUUUCUUGUUAACACUUAAGCAGGUUUGUAGAGAAAACAACAACCAUGGGUCUAGAAGAAUGCUAUUCACAUCGAUAUGUAAGUCUAAUAUCACGAAGAUAUGGCUUAUUCUUUUUUCCCUUGUGGUUUAUUUCUGCUCUUUAUUCUAGUUUUGUUGCUUGCUGCAGUUACUUUAAAGUCAGUGCAAGAGAAUGAUAACUAUAUAUGCUGCAAUGAGAGAAAAGCCCAAAGAUUUUGCAAGUGAAAGCAUAGCAAGAGCUUAAGUUGGUUUGGGUCAAACUGAGAUUUAAGUUGAAAUUUGCUUUGAAUGUGGUAGGCACAUAUGUGCGCCAUGAUUGAACUAUUGUUGCCAUUGCUGAAGAAAGCUACCCCUGAUACACCAGAGUAACAAGCCUCAACAAAGAAGGUUGAACAUGUAGAUGCAAAAGUAUGGAACAACUGCAAGUUGGAGACCAGUGGAGUGGAGCGGGUCAGCCUAGUUUUUCAACUUUUGGUCUUCCUUUUGGGUACUCUUAUGAUGUAGUGGAACUAAAUGAUGAAACAAUUGUGAUGAUUUCUUAAUGAAACUAGCAGUAUUAUGUCUC